RNAcentral lists this non-coding RNA (23 nucleotides) under Arabidopsis thaliana (thale cress). Lineage: Eukaryota; Viridiplantae; Streptophyta; Magnoliopsida; Brassicales; Brassicaceae. The record is from RNAcentral.
CAAUGUUGUACUUCACACGAUGC